UAGGGAAUAUUGGACAAUGGGUGAGAGCCUGAUCCAGCCAUGCCGCGUGCAGGAAGAAGGCGUUCGGGUUGUAAAGCUCUUUUGUCAGGGAAGAAACACCGGCUCUAACACAGUCCGGGAAUGACGGUACCUGAAGAAUAAGCACCGGCUAACUACGUGCCAGCAGCCGCGGUAAUACGUAGGGUGCGAGCGUUAAUCGGAAUUACUGGGCGUAAAGCGUGCGCAGGCGGUUAUACAAGACAGGCGUGAAAUCCCCGGGCUUAACCUGGGAAUGGCGCCUGUGACUGUAUAGCUAGAGUGUGUCAGAGGGGGGUAGAAUUCCACGUGUAGCAGUGAAAUGCGUAGAUAUGUGGAGGAAUACCAAUGGCGAAGGCAGCCCCCUGGGAUAACACUGACGCUCAUGCACGAAAGCGUGGGGAGCAAACAGGAUUAGAUACCCCAGUAGUCCCUGAGCGGGCUGGCAAGGCGCAU
This 471-nucleotide ribosomal RNA is filed under the name uncultured bacterium. RNAcentral's name for it is "bacterial SSU rRNA". It matches the Rfam family "Bacterial small subunit ribosomal RNA", at positions 355 to 825 of the family's 1533-position model. The record is from RNAcentral.